UACGUAGGGUGCGAGCGUUAAUCGGAAUUACUGGGCGUAAAGCGUGCGCAGGCGGUUCUCCAAGUCCGUUGUGAAAGCCCCGGGCUCAACCUGGGAAUGGCAGUGGAAACUAGGGGACUGGAAUCUGGCAGAGGGGGGGUGGAAUGCCGCGUGUAGCAGUGAAAUGCGUAGAGAUGCGGCGGAACACCGAUGGCGAAGGCAGCCCCCUGGGCUGAGAUUGACGCUCAGGCACGAAAGCGUGGGGAGCAAACAGG
This 254-nucleotide ribosomal RNA is filed under the name uncultured bacterium. Its description in RNAcentral is "partial 16S ribosomal RNA". It matches the Rfam family "Bacterial small subunit ribosomal RNA", at positions 524 to 776 of the family's 1533-position model. The record is from RNAcentral.